This 253-nucleotide ribosomal RNA is filed under the name uncultured bacterium. Its description in RNAcentral is "partial 16S ribosomal RNA". It matches the Rfam family "Bacterial small subunit ribosomal RNA", at positions 524 to 776 of the family's 1533-position model. The record is from RNAcentral.
UACGAAGGGGGCAAGCGUUGUUCGGAAUAACUGGGCGUAAAGAGCACGUAGGCGGUGGUAUGCGUUUGAUGUGAAAGACCUGGGCUCAACCUGGGAAUUGCAUCAAAAACGGUACUGCUAGAGAUCGAGAGGGGAAAAGGGAAUUGUGCGUGUAGAGGUGAAAUUCGUAGAUAUGCACAGGAACACCGGUGGCGAAGGCGCUUUUCUGGCUCGAAACUGACGCUGAGGUGCGAAAGCGUGGGGAGCAAACAGG